UCUAGACUUCUGCAGCUUGGUAAAUUUAUAAUCAGAAAGUAAUUUGUCCGUACAGCAAGCUUCCUUGGAGUGAUAAAUGGAGUUCUUGAUUAGGCAAGAAGAUGAAAUUUCUGUUUCUCAUGCUUUUGAGAUGAAGGGAUAUAAACCAGAAAUAAUGCAAUUCUUGUCCUCACCUUCUUUUCUCCAGCAGUGAUUGAAUAUUUCAGCUGUACAGUGUGAAAUCAGAGUUUCUCAUUGCUAUGUUCCUGACAGAAUCAUAGCAGAAAGGUCUCCAAAUUGCCUGAUGGGCUGUAGAUUGAUUUCUGUACCACAGGUACAUUUGCUCAUUUACAACCAUUCUCAGCAUUUUCAAAAAAGGAUGCCUAAAAGUGUGAUGGUAUCCGGAUGUAUGGAGCAUACAGUUCAGAGAAAAGCUUUCCUUCUGCCUUCUUUCUUCUCCACACUCCUUACCACUGUUGAUAAGAAAAUGAAGACAAGAUGAUCUCUUCUGUUUAUACAUGUUUUGUUGUAAGGCUUUUGCUUUGGGCUAAUUUCUUCCACUUGGCCGGCCAGCUUUUCUCCUGGGAUCUCUGAUAGUUGCUGUAGUGUUUGGCAGCCUGUGGCUCUGCAAGGUGUAAUGACUGGCUUCAAAUUUUCUGCUUUCUUCUGUCACUAUAAUACCUGGUGUUAGAAGUGCUGUUUACGAACUCCUUUUUUUCUUUUGAGAGGGAAUGACAGAUUACCAUUCAUCGCAUACACUUGUAAACAUUUCAACUGGAAGUAACCAGAAGAGUAGUGCAAUUAUUCCUUGUAGCUUUCUCCAGUAUUGCUCUUCGACAUUAUAGACAAACCAGCAUGAAUAUUCUUUUUUUCAUCUGAGCAAAAGCCAAUGCAGUUUUGUGUUAGGACUCCCAUCACGACCAAUUUCCUUUGCUGUCAGUCUACACCUUCUGUUUGUCAUUUCUUUCUUAGUAUGCUAUUUAAAAUAUGAAUGUUCUUUCUUUGCUGCAUAUACUGUGAAGUCUGCUUUGUACAAUGUGUCAAGUUUUUGUAUCUUACAUUUGCACUUAUUUAAGUUGGAUUUGAGCUGUCACAUUCAAAAUUUGCUAUAUUUCUAGUUCACAAAAUGCAUGUGGAAUUUUCCUGUGAUGGAGUGACUGUUGUGAACUGGGCUCUUUGGCAAAUAAUUUCAUGCUGAGGAACCAGAUGGACAGGCACCCAAGCAGAAUACCUCCUUGUUUAAAUCAAUAUGAACUGGAGGCCAUUUCUUGGUAAUUGAGUUAAUGAGGUCAGUGAGAACUUCUUACUAGGAAUAAUUUGAAUGAUUUUGUAUUCUUAUAAUCACUUGUUAUGAAUGUACAACCAGUGUGAUCAUUCCUGGCUAGCAACUCAGAGAUUUAAAUGUUGAAAUGGAUAUUUGUGAUGACACAGGAAGUCUUUGUGGAAUUCACAGUAUUUUCAAAAACUCAGAUCAUUAUUUUAGGUUCAUAGGAAUAGUAAUUUUUAAAAUUAUUUUUAAUUUGACUUUGUGUUUCUCAGGCGUUACUUAAUAAAAAAAAAACAACUGUGCCAAUUCUCAUCCUUAAACCAAAACCCAAAUCCUCUCUUCCUUGCUUCUGCUAUCUCAAAGGAGGUAGUAUGGAAAUACUUAGAAAUUUGGUUGGCAUUUAUGCUAUGAAUGAGAAUUUUGAAAACUGAUUGGGCUGAAUAUGGUUGCUUUUCCUCUGUAUUUUGUACUGAAUGUUGUUUUAUUCUCUACUCAGGUGUAACUUUGAUUUUAUCUUGCAUUUUAGUCUUGGAAAGAGUUUUAGCAUUAAAUGUGCAUAAGUGACAUUUGCCCCACAAAGAUGGUUGUUGUCAGGACAGACUGAAAAAGCAAACCAAAAGUAAAUCAAAAACUCCUCUAAAGAAAUGACUUUUUGUGGACAGCAUAAAUUAUAGUGAGAUAAUGGAAAUGUUACUUGAUGUAAACGCUACCUGAUCAAAAGUCAACACUUGUACAAAAU
Molecule: long non-coding RNA, 1985 nt
Filed under: Gallus gallus (chicken)
Lineage: Eukaryota; Metazoa; Chordata; Aves; Galliformes; Phasianidae
Description: lncRNA (ENSGALG00010025231.1)
Source: RNAcentral